CCUACGGGUGGCAGCAGUGAGGAAUAUUGGUCAAUGGCCGAGAGCCUGAACCAGCCAAGUCGCGUGAGGGAAGACGACCCUACGGGUUGUAAACCUCUUUUGUCGGGGAGCAAAGCGAGUCACGUGUGACUCAUUGAGAGUACCCGAAGAAAAAGCAUCGGCUAACUCCGUGCCAGCAGCCGCGGUAAUACGGAGGAUGCGAGCGUUAUACGGAUUUAUUGGGGUUAAAGGGUGGGCAGGCGGAGGUGCAAGUCAGCGGUAAAAGUGCGGGGCUCAACCCCGUACUGCAGUUGAAACUGGAGCCCUUGAGUGCGCGAGAAGUAUGCGGAAUUCGAGGUGUAGCGGUGAAAUGCAUAGAUAUCACGAAGAACACCGAUUGCGAAGGCAGCAUACCGGCGCGUAACUGACGCUCAUGCACGAAAGCGUGGGUAUCGAACAGGAUUAGAUACCCCAGUAGUC
RNAcentral lists this ribosomal RNA (459 nucleotides) under uncultured bacterium. RNAcentral's name for it is "partial 16S ribosomal RNA". It matches the Rfam family "Bacterial small subunit ribosomal RNA", at positions 338 to 795 of the family's 1533-position model. The record is from RNAcentral.